GCAGACUGAUACGUCCCCUUCGUCUAGAGGCCCAGGACACCGCCCUUUCACGGCGGUAACAGGGGUUCGAAUCCCCUAGGGGACGCCACUUGCUGGUUUGUGAGUGAAAGUCACCUGCCUUAAUAUCUCAAAACUCAUCUUCGGGUGAUGUUUGAGAUAUUUGCUCUUUAAAAAUCUGGAUCAAGCUGAAAAUUGAAACACUGAACAACGAAAGUUGUUCGUGAGUCUCUCNNNNNNNNNNNNNNNNNNNNNNNNNNNNNNNNNNNNNNNNNNNNNNNNNNNNNNNNNNNNNNNNNNNNNNNNNNNNNNNNNNNNNNNNNNCACACUAUCAUUAACUGAAUCCAUAGGUUAAUGAGGCGAACCGGGGGAACUGAAACAUCUAAGUACCCCGAGGAAAAGAAAUCAACCGAGAUUCCCCCAGUAGCGGCGAGCGGACGGGGAGCAGCCCAGAGCCUGAAUCAGUGUGUGUGUUAGUGGAAGCGUCUGGAAAGGCGUGCGAUACAGGGUGACAGCCCCGUACACAAAAAUGCACAUAUUGUGAGCUUGAUGAGUAGGGCGGGACACGUGGUAUCCUGUCUGAAUAUGGGGGGACCAUCCUCCAAGGCUAAAUACUCCUGACUGACCGAUAGUGAACCAGUACCGUGAGGGAAAGGCGAAAAGAACCCCGGCGAGGGGAGUGAAAAAGAACCUGAAACCGUGUACGUACAAGCAGUGGGAGCACGCUUAGGCGUGUGACUGCGUACCUUUUGUAUAAUGGGUCAGCGACUUAUAUUCUGUAGCAAGGUUAACCGAAUAGGGGAGCCGAAGGGAAACCGAGUCUUAACUGGGCGUUAAGUUGCAGGGUAUAGACCCGAAACCCGGUGAUCUAGCCAUGGGCAGGUUGAAGGUUGGGUAACACUAACUGGAGGACCGAACCGACUAAUGUUGAAAAAUUAGCGGAUGACUUGUGGCUGGGGGUGAAAGGCCAAUCAAACCGGGAGAUAGCUGGUUCUCCCCGAAAGCUAUUUAGGUAGCGCCUCGUGAAUUCAUCUCCGGGGGUAGAGCACUGUUUCGGCAAGGGGGUCAUCCCGACUUACCAACCCGAUGCAAACUGCGAAUACCGAAGAAUGUUAUCACGGGAGACACACGGCGGGUGCUAACGUCCGUCGUGAAGAGGGAAACAACCCAGACCGCCAGCUAAGGUCCCAAAGUCAUGGUUAAGUGGGAAACGAUGUGGGAAGGCCCAGACAGCCAGGAUGUUGGCUUAGAAGCAGCCAUCAUUUAAAGAAAGCGUAAUAGCUCACUGGUCGAGUCGGCCUGCGCGGAAGAUGUAACGGGGCUAAACCAUGCACCGAAGCUGCGGCAGCGACGCUUAUGCGUUGUUGGGUAGGGGAGCGUUCUGUAAGCCUGCGAAGGUGUGCUGUGAGGCAUGCUGGAGGUAUCAGAAGUGCGAAUGCUGACAUAAGUAACGAUAAAGCGGGUGAAAAGCCCGCUCGCCGGAAGACCAAGGGUUCCUGUCCAACGUUAAUCGGGGCAGGGUGAGUCGACCCCUAAGGCGAGGCCGAAAGGCGUAGUCGAUGGGAAACAGGUUAAUAUUCCUGUACUUGGUGUUACUGCGAAGGGGGGACGGANCCAUCCUCCAAGGCUAAAUACUCCUGACUGACCGAUAGUGAACCAGUACCGUGAGGGAAAGGCGAAAAGAACCCCGGCGAGGGGAGUGAAAAAGAACCUGAAACCGUGUACGUACAAGCAGUGGGAGCACGCUUAGGCGUGUGACUGCGUACCUUUUGUAUAAUGGGUCAGCGACUUAUAUUCUGUAGCAAGGUUAACCGAAUAGGGGAGCCGAAGGGAAACCGAGUCUUAACUGGGCGUUAAGUUGCAGGGUAUAGACCCGAAACCCGGUGAUCUAGCCAUGGGCAGGUUGAAGGUUGGGUAACACUAACUGGAGGACCGAACCGACUAAUGUUGAAAAAUUAGCGGAUGACUUGUGGCUGGGGGUGAAAGGCCAAUCAAACCGGGAGAUAGCUGGUUCUCCCCGAAAGCUAUUUAGGUAGCGCCUCGUGAAUUCAUCUCCGGGGGUAGAGCACUGUUUCGGCAAGGGGGUCAUCCCGACUUACCAACCCGAUGCAAACUGCGAAUACCGGAGAAUGUUAUCACAGGAGACACACGGCGGGUGCUAACGUCCGUCGUGAAGAGGGAAACAACCCAGACCGCCAGCUAAGGUCCCAAAGUCAUGGUUAAGUGGGAAACGAUGUGGGAAGGCCCAGACAGCCAGGAUGUUGGCUUAGAAGCAGCCAUCAUUUAAAGAAAGCGUAAUAGCUCACUGGUCGAGUCGGCCUGCGCGGAAGAUGUAACGGGGCUAAACCAUGCACCGAAGCUGCGGCAGCGACGCUUAUGCGUUGUUGGGUAGGGGAGCGUUCUGUAAGCCUGUGAAGGUGUGCUGUGAGGCAUGCUGGAGGUAUCAGAAGUGCGAAUGCUGACAUAAGUAACGAUAAAGCGGGUGAAAAGCCCGCUCGCCGGAAGACCAAGGGUUCCUGUCCAACGUUAAUCGGGGCAGGGUGAGUCGACCCCUAAGGCGAGGCCGAAAGGCGUAGUCGAUGGGAAACAGGUUAAUAUUCCUGUACUUGGUGUUACUGCGAAGGGGGGACGGAGAAGGCUAUGUUGGCCGGGCGACGGUUGUCCCGGUUUAAGCGUGUAGGCUGGUUUUCCAGGCAAAUCCGGAAAAUCAAGGCUGAGGCGUGAUGACGAGGCACUACGGUGCUGAAGCAACAAAUGCCCUGCUUCCAGGAAAAGCCUCUAAGCAUCAGGUAACAUCAAAUCGUACCCCAAACCGACACAGGUGGUCAGGUAGAGAAUACCAAGGCGCUUGAGAGAACUCGGGUGAAGGAACUAGGCAAAAUGGUGCCGUAACUUCGGGAGAAGGCACGCUGAUAUGUAGGUGAAGUCCCUUGCGGAUGGAGCUGAAAUCAGUCGAAGAUACCAGCUGGCUGCAACUGUUUAUUAAAAACACAGCACUGUGCAAACACGAAAGUGGACGUAUACGGUGUGACGCCUGCCCGGUGCCGGAAGGUUAAUUGAUGGGGUCAGCGCAAGCGAAGCUCUUGAUCGAAGCCCCGGUAAACGGCGGCCGUAACUAUAACGGUCCUAAGGUAGCGAAAUUCCUUGUCGGGUAAGUUCCGACCUGCACGAAUGGCGUAAUGAUGGCCAGGCUGUCUCCACCCGAGACUCAGUGAAAUUGAACUCGCUGUGAAGAUGCAGUGUACCCGCGGCAAGACGGAAAGACCCCGUGAACCUUUACUAUAGCUUGACACUGAACAUUGAGCCUUGAUGUGUAGGAUAGGUGGGAGGCUUUGAAGUGUGGACGCCAGUCUGCAUGGAGCCGGCCUUGAAAUACCACCCUUUAAUGUUUGAUGUUCUAACGUGGACCCGUGAUCCGGGUUGCGGACAGUGUCUGGUGGGUAGUUUGACUGGGGCGGUCUCCUCCUAAAGAGUAACGGAGGAGCACGAAGGUUGGCUAAUCCUGGUCGGACAUCAGGAGGUUAGUGCAAUGGCAUAAGCCAGCUUGACUGCGAGCGUGACGGCGCGAGCAGGUGCGAAAGCAGGUCAUAGUGAUCCGGUGGUUCUGAAUGGAAGGGCCAUCGCUCAACGGAUAAAAGGUACUCCGGGGAUAACAGGCUGAUACCGCCCAAGAGUUCAUAUCGACGGCGGUGUUUGGCACCUCGAUGUCGGCUCAUCACAUCCUGGGGCUGAAGUAGGUCCCAAGGGUAUGGCUGUUCGCCAUUUAAAGUGGUACGCGAGCUGGGUUUAGAACGUCGUGAGACAGUUCGGUCCCUAUCUGCCGUGGGCGCUGGAGAACUGAGGGGGGCUGCUCCUAGUACGAGAGGACCGGAGUGGACGCAUCACUGGUGUUCGGGUUGUCAUGCCAAUGGCACUGCCCGGUAGCUAAAUGCGGAAGAGAUAAGUGCUGAAAGCAUCUAAGCACGAAACUUGCCCCGAGAUGAGUUCUCCCUGACCCUUUAAGGGUCCUGAAGGAACGUUGAAGACGACGACGUUGAUAGGCCGGGUGUGUAAGCGCAGCGAUGCGUUGAGCUAACCGGUACUAAUGAACCGUGAGGCUUAACCUU
This 4103-nucleotide ribosomal RNA is filed under the name Shigella sonnei. RNAcentral's name for it is "23S ribosomal RNA". The stretch from base 1567 to 4103 matches the Rfam family "Bacterial large subunit ribosomal RNA". The record is from RNAcentral. Lineage: Bacteria; Pseudomonadati; Pseudomonadota; Gammaproteobacteria; Enterobacterales; Enterobacteriaceae.